Macrobrachium nipponense is the source of this 1821-nucleotide long non-coding RNA. RefSeq lists it as uncharacterized. The transcript has 3 exons. NCBI's taxonomy places the organism in Eukaryota, Metazoa, Arthropoda, Malacostraca, Decapoda, Palaemonidae. The record is from RefSeq and is a predicted model, not a curated record.
UGACAGUUGGCUGGUAGACGUAUCAGUUGUCUAUUUGUGUUCAUCUGCUCUAAUGUAGAUUUGGAAAGAAUUGACAAUUCGACAACAUGGGUUGGUUUAAGUGACGGCCGGUGAGGCAGUUACGGUCUUUUGUUCCACACCGAUUCGUACCCUUCCCGUCUCGUUGGCUCCAAGUGGUCCCUACGGAUUGAUUUAAGUCUUAUUUCGUUUAUUAGCGGGAAUGAUGCCACGACGAAUAUUAAAGACUAGUUGAAAGAAGAAAAAAACUGUUGCUAUCAAGAAAUUCUUCAGAAGUUCAAUAUCCAAUACUUUUCCUUUUCCUCCACCCCAUCGGGGGCGGCGCCCCUGAUCGGGUGGAGGAGCUCCUUAGGGCUAACGUAGUAGGCGUGUUGGCCUACUAUGCGAAUCCUUGGAGUUUUUAGUUAUUAUUUUUUUUUUUGUUGCAGAUGACAGUGAGUUUUAACUUCAUACUAUUACCAUUAAUUUUUUUAACUGAUAAUCUGGUAAUAUCAGUAGAUAAGCGUCGCACUUUGUUUUGUACAUAUGCAAUGGUUUGUAUAAAUCUGAUCUAUGAGUACCUUUAAGUUAACUCGCAUUAUGUUUUUAUGGUUAUUUAAGUUAUUAGCUUUAUCCACUCUGGUUUUAGUUAACUCUCACCCUAAUACUGUGAUUUCAAAAGCUAUUUUUUGGAAUAUUAUUAGUUUGGUCAGUUUUUCAUAUGUAAGUUAGUUUUGAGUUUAGGUCAGUUUGAUCUUUAUAGAGAAAAUGUAGAAUGAUUACUUCUGGAUUAGUGUUCCUGGUUUUACAGAGCACCCAUUUCAUUUUGAGUUUUGGAUCAUGAAAUAUAUUAAAAGCUUAAAAUACAUGAUUAUAACUUUUUAGAUAUUUUUGUAGAUGUUCGCAUUUUGAAGGAGAUUUGAUCUCUUAUGCUUUUUGUGAUCCGAAAAGAUUUUUAGUUUUGGAUCAUGAAAUCUAUUAAAAUCUUAAAAUCCAUGGUUAUACUUUUUAGAUGUUUUUGUAUAUGUUCGCAUUUUGAAGGAGAUUUGAUCUUUUAUGCUUUUUGUAAUUCGAAAAGAUUUUGCAACAAAGAAUAAUUAUGUAAUGGGAAGCAGUGUACGUUAACUUUUCCGUCCUUUUCUACUUUGUAUUAAGGUUUGCUUUUAAUUUGGUUUCAUCCAAAGUUUUUGCUGUUGCUGCUUUUCAUGACUUACAGGUGACCUUGCUCUGAGAGGUUUAGAAUGGCGGACUUAAGGAUUUGGAGUAAUAGUGUAAACGUUUAGUUCGUGAAAUUCUCCUCGUUCCAUCUGUUACAAAAGUGAGGCUUUCCUAAUUUUAGUUUUGAAGUGGGAUAAAAACAAGUUUUCAGAAUAACUCACUCUGUAACCGUAGAUUCAUGAUUAAGAAAGAUUCCAGUGUAUGCACUAUCCUGUCAUUACCAGUGUUUUUAACCACAUAAAAUUGACCCUGAUGAUUGUCGGAAAGAGGGUACUUAAGGUGUUACGUGUUUAUAUUUUCAAGAUUCAAUGGUAUAAGAUUUUUACAGGUCUGUCUUGGUAGUUCACAUUUAAAUUAAUACUGCAUAUCAAAUUGUUAACGAAUAUAAAGGAAAUUCAAUGUGACUAUUUUGAAAUUUCACCCUGUAGCGUCCAAUGUUCUGAGGGCUGGGUGGUUAAAAAGUCUGGUUUUAUACAGUUUUCCCACCUAGGGUAAAAAUAUUUAGUACGGCUAAAGUCAUUGCAGUUGAGCGUUUGUGUGAAACUGGCAAGAUAUGCGUUGGUAAAAAAAUAAAAUAAAAUAAAAUGGUAAUGGUAGCCUGGGUAG